AUUCGUUGCACUAUCGUUAACUGAAUACAUAGGUUAACGAGGCGAACCGGGGGAACUGAAACAUCUAAGUACCCCGAGGAAAAGAAAUCAACCGAGAUUCCCCCAGUAGCGGCGAGCGAACGGGGAGGAGCCCAGAGUCUGAAUCAGUUUGUGUGUUAGUGGAAGCGUCUGGAAAGUCGCACGAUACAGGGUGAAAGUCCCGUACACGAAAGCACACAGGCUGUGAACUCGAAGAGUAGGGCGGGACACGUGGUAUCCUGUCUGAAUAUGGGGGGACCAUCCUCCAAGGCUAAAUACUCCUGACUGACCGAUAGUGAACCAGUACCGUGAGGGAAAGGCGAAAAGAACCCCGGCGAGGGGAGUGAAAAAGAACCUGAAACCGUGUACGUACAAGCAGUGGGAGC
Molecule: non-coding RNA, 404 nt
Filed under: Pluralibacter gergoviae
Lineage: Bacteria; Pseudomonadati; Pseudomonadota; Gammaproteobacteria; Enterobacterales; Enterobacteriaceae
Description: Enterobacter gergoviae Bacterial large subunit ribosomal RNA
Rfam family: Bacterial large subunit ribosomal RNA
Source: Rfam by way of RNAcentral